RNAcentral lists this unclassified non-coding RNA (642 nucleotides) under Hevea brasiliensis (rubber tree). Lineage: Eukaryota; Viridiplantae; Streptophyta; Magnoliopsida; Malpighiales; Euphorbiaceae. The record is from RNAcentral.
AUCAUCUGCAGUCCAGCCCCAUCCAUGUUGUACUGUGCUUGAGCAAAUUGAACAGCAGUGUCAUUUGAGAUAUAUACUGAAGCAGAAGAGGAGACAUUAUUGAUAGGCUGAUCAUAAAGUUGCUGAGUGUAGGAUAUGUCAUUUGGGAAUUGAUUAUUAGGACUCGUUGCAUUGCGGAUGAGUUGAUCAUCUUCAGAAAAUCUUCCUCCAAGCUUGAUAAGCAGUUUCCUAAUAGAAGCAUGGUCAUUAAAGCGUGGUUCUUGGUUGGAGAAGGGUGUGGGAGCCAGUAAAGGCAGCCCAGGCCAGUAAGUGUUUUGAUUAUUGUUAUAAUCAUCUGAAACAAUAGGAUUAGCAUUUCCUCUCUUCAGCGCUUGUUUUAGGCCGCCCUACCCCUCCGAGCCUGUUGCUCUUUUCUUUGCUUACCAAGAAGCUUCUUUUUCAGUCUGGUGUUCCAGUAGUUCUUUAUGUCAUUAUCUGUUCUCCCUGGCAAUUGUGCUGCAAUUAUAGACCACCUGCUCCCAAUACUAAUAUAGAGGCUGCAAAUUAUGUCAUCUUCUUCCUCAGAGAAGCCUCCAUGCUUAAUAUUUGGGCGAAGAUAGUUUAACCAUCUAAGACGGCAGCUCUUGCCACAUCUUUUAAGGC